This 498-nucleotide long non-coding RNA is filed under the name Neodiprion lecontei (redheaded pine sawfly). Its description in RNAcentral is "uncharacterized LOC124293856". The record is from RNAcentral. Lineage: Eukaryota; Metazoa; Arthropoda; Insecta; Hymenoptera; Diprionidae.
CAACCAAAAUGGAUAUUAUUCCUCAAGAGAAUUAGUUAUGAUCCCCGGAGAUCCUGCGGAGAUCUCAACGAUUCCUAGUGUGAAAAAGUAUAGAGAAUGUGAAACCGUUGGCAUCGCCUGCUCGUUUUUGCUCCAUUGGUCAAAAAUACGCAUUCUUUGAAGCAGUGAAACGACGUCGAUGAUGAGAAUUCAGAUAGCGAUUAGAAUUCGGGCUUUUGGACCACUGUGCAUUGGUCAAAAAUACGCAGUCUUUGAAGCAGUGUUUUGUCGACUCGGUCGGAGCCUCGUGGCCCGCCUCAUGGGAUUAGUGUAGCGGGGCGACGCACACAACGUCAUUCAUCGAAACGACGUCGAUGAUGAGAAUUUAGAUGGUGAUUAGUAUGUAUCUUUAAAAAUUAUGUUAUUUUGUUUUAUAAGAAAAAAAUCUGUAUGAAUUAAAGAAAUUAAUUUACAAAAUAUCACUUUUAACAAAGUUGUACCAUUUUUCACGAAAUAUUU